UGGGGAAUCUUGCACAAUGGGGGAAACCCUGAUGCAGCGACGCCGCGUGAGCGAUGAAGCCCUUCGGGGGGUAAAGCUCUUUCGACAGGAACGAUCAUGACGGUACCUGGAGAAGAAGCUGCGGCUAACUACGUGCCAGCAGCCGCGGUAAUACGUAGGCAGCAAACGUUGUUCGGAGUUACUGGGCGUAAAGAGUACGUAGGCGGUUUGCUAAGUCUGGUGUGAAAUCUCCCGGCUUAACUGGGAGGG
RNAcentral lists this ribosomal RNA (249 nucleotides) under uncultured Bryobacterales bacterium. RNAcentral describes it as "partial 16S ribosomal RNA". It matches the Rfam family "Bacterial small subunit ribosomal RNA", at positions 355 to 621 of the family's 1533-position model. Lineage: Bacteria; Pseudomonadati; Acidobacteriota; Terriglobia; Bryobacterales. The record is from RNAcentral.